UCAAGUUUAAAUGGGGUCGUGUUUACCGUGUUCACUAGAAGAGUCCAUAUGGACGCCCUCAUCUUGUUGCAUUUACGACUUCGUAAGUGAAAGGUUUCUGAAAGCUCAUGGCACGAGUGUACACAACUUUCCAUUUCAUAACGAACUCAGUUCCAUUUGAAAGCACCGUUAUGUUUUGAUAUAGGCAGGCCCUACCCUUACUGAAAGUAUUAACGUAACUGGCAAACUGCGUAGACCUCGAUGAGCUGAAUUCAUACCUUCUGCUCUGAUGUCUGAGUGCGUGUCGCCGAGGUCGAGGGCGAAGUGGAGCUGACAUUUGAACAUCUCUCUGUCGUCCAUGUGAACGAGAUCAUGAACACUCUGCUGGACCACAUCCGACUGAUGACAGUUUUUACCUGAUGGAAGCCGAGGAAGUCCUGGAUGGUCGGAGAUGCGUAAAAGAUCGUGCCAUCACUCGUCACGACCAACACGAAGCCAUUUAAAGCCUG
Long non-coding RNA from Perca fluviatilis (European perch), 488 nucleotides. RefSeq lists it as uncharacterized. The record is from RefSeq and is a predicted model, not a curated record. NCBI's taxonomy places the organism in Eukaryota, Metazoa, Chordata, Actinopteri, Perciformes, Percidae. The transcript has 3 exons.